RNAcentral lists this ribosomal RNA (200 nucleotides) under uncultured bacterium. RNAcentral's name for it is "partial 16S ribosomal RNA". It matches the Rfam family "Bacterial small subunit ribosomal RNA", at positions 8 to 226 of the family's 1533-position model. The record is from RNAcentral.
AGAGUUUGAUCAUGGCUCAGAGCGAACGCUGGCGGCGCGCUUAACACAUGCAAGUCGCACGAGAAAGGGGCAACCUGAGUAAAGUGGCGUACGGGUGAGUAACACGUGGAUCAUCUACCUUUUAGUGGGGAAUACCCCCGGGAAACUGGGGACAAUACCGCAUAAGCUCGUAAGAGGAAAGCAGCAAUGCGCUGAAAGAG